RNAcentral lists this ribosomal RNA (703 nucleotides) under Paraburkholderia phenoliruptrix. Its description in RNAcentral is "bacterial SSU rRNA". It matches the Rfam family "Bacterial small subunit ribosomal RNA", at positions 61 to 757 of the family's 1533-position model. Lineage: Bacteria; Pseudomonadati; Pseudomonadota; Betaproteobacteria; Burkholderiales; Burkholderiaceae. The record is from RNAcentral.
GUCGGACGGCAGCGCGGGCUUCGGCCUGGCGGCGAGUGGCGAACGGGUGAGUAAUACAUCGGAACGUGUCCUGUAGUGGGGGAUAGCCCGGCGAAAGCCGGAUUAAUACCGCAUACGCUCUGCGGAGGAAAGCGGGGGAUCCUUCGGGACCUCGCGCUACAGGGGCGGCCGAUGGCAGAUUAGCUAGUUGGUGGGGUAAAGGCCUACCAAGGCGACGAUCUGUAGCUGGUCUGAGAGGACGACCAGCCACACUGGGACUGAGACACGGCCCAGACUCCUACGGGAGGCAGCAGUGGGGAAUUUUGGACAAUGGGGGCAACCCUGAUCCAGCAAUGCCGCGUGUGUGAAGAAGGCCUUCGGGUUGUAAAGCACUUUUGUCCGGAAAGAAAACUUCUGGGUUAAUACCCUGGGAGGAUGACGGUACCGGAAGAAUAAGCACCGGCUAACUACGUGCCAGCAGCCGCGGUAAUACGUAGGGUGCAAGCGUUAAUCGGAAUUACUGGGCGUAAAGCGUGCGCAGGCGGUUCGCUAAGACAGAUGUGAAAUCCCCGGGCUUAACCUGGGAACUGCAUUUGUGACUGGCGGGCUAGAGUAUGGCAGAGGGGGGUAGAAUUCCACGUGUAGCAGUGAAAUGCGUAGAGAUGUGGAGGAAUACCGAUGGCGAAGGCAGCCCCCUGGGCCAAUACUGACGCUCAUGCACGAA